Long non-coding RNA from Hipposideros armiger (great roundleaf bat), 181 nucleotides. RefSeq lists it as uncharacterized. The record is from RefSeq and is a predicted model, not a curated record. Lineage: Eukaryota; Metazoa; Chordata; Mammalia; Chiroptera; Hipposideridae. The transcript has 2 exons.
AAUCUCCUCCUGAAUUAAAAACCGGUCUCAGUGACAUUUUUGCUCAAAAUGAUCUUGCUGUUGUGGAUGUCAGAAUCGGUGUGUCUAGGAGGUUUGGCUAUGUGGAUUUUGAAUCUGCUGAAGACCUGGAAAAAGCCUUGGAACUCACUGGUUUAAAAGUCUUUGGCAAUGAAAUUAAAAU